UACGUAGGGUGCAAGCGUUAAUCGGAAUUACUGGGCGUAAAGCGUGCGCAGGCGGUCAUGUAAGACAGUUGUGAAAUCCCCGGGCUCAACCUGGGAACUGCAUCUGUGACUGCAUUGCUGGAGUACGGUAGAGGGGGAUGGAAUUCCGCGUGUAGCAGUGAAAUGCGUAGAUAUGCGGAGGAACACCGAUGGCGAAGGCAAUCCCCUGGACCUGUACUGACGCUCAUGCACGAAAGCGUGGGGAGCAAACAGG
This 253-nucleotide ribosomal RNA is filed under the name uncultured bacterium. Its description in RNAcentral is "partial 16S ribosomal RNA". It matches the Rfam family "Bacterial small subunit ribosomal RNA", at positions 524 to 776 of the family's 1533-position model. The record is from RNAcentral.